CCUACGGGGGGCAGCAGUGGGGAAUAUUGGACAAUGGGGGCAACCCUGAUCCAGCCAUGCCGCGUGUGUGAAGAAGGCCCUCGGGUUGUAAAGCACUUUCAGUGAGGAAGAACGCCUGGUGGUUAAUACCCAUCAGGAAAGACAUCACUCACAGAAGAAGCACCGGCUAACUCCGUGCCAGCAGCCGCGGUAAUACGGAGGGUGCGAGCGUUAAUCGGAAUUACUGGGCGUAAAGCGCGCGUAGGUGGCUUGAUAAGCCGGUUGUGAAAGCCCCGGGCUCAACCUGGGAACGGCAUCCGGAACUGUCAAGCUAGAGUGCAGGAGAGGAAGGUAGAAUUCCCGGUGUAGCGGUGAAAUGCGUAGAGAUCGGGAGGAGUACCAGUGGCGAAGGCGGCCUUCUGGACUGACACUGACACUGAGGUGCGAAAGCGUGGGUAGCAAACAGGAUUAGAUACCCGAGUAGUC
RNAcentral lists this ribosomal RNA (465 nucleotides) under Vreelandella stevensii. Its description in RNAcentral is "partial 16S ribosomal RNA". It matches the Rfam family "Bacterial small subunit ribosomal RNA", at positions 338 to 795 of the family's 1533-position model. Lineage: Bacteria; Pseudomonadati; Pseudomonadota; Gammaproteobacteria; Oceanospirillales; Halomonadaceae. The record is from RNAcentral.